AAGUGGAAAACGAUGUGGGAAGGCAUAGACAGCUAGGAGGUUGGCUUAGAAGCAGCCACCCUUUAAAGAAAGCGUAAUAGCUCACUAGUCGAGUCGGCCUGCGCGGAAGAUGUAACGGGGCUAAAUCAUUCACCGAAGCUGCGGACUUGUGCUUGCACAAGUGGUAGAGGAGCGUUCUGUAAGCCUGUGAAGGUGACCCGGGAGGGUUGCUGGAGGUAUCAGAAGUGCGAAUGCUGACAUGAGUAACGAUAAGGGGAGUGAAAAACUUCCCCGCCGAAAGACCAAGGGUUCCUAUCCCAUGCUAAUCAGGGUAGGGUGAGUCGACCCCUAAGGCGAGGCUGAAAGGCGUAGUCGAUGGGAAACAGGUUAAUAUUCCUGUACCGACCAAUACUGCGAUGGGGGGACGGAGAAAGCUAGGCAAGCGCGGCGUUGGUAGUCCGCGUGAAAGUACGUAGGCAGAGAGAUUAGGUAAAUCCGGUUUCUUAUAUGCUGAGAUACGAGACGAGUUACUACGGUAACGAAGUUGCUAACGCUAUGCUUCCAGGAAAAGCCUCUAAGCUUCAGGUAUUGGAGAUCGUACCCUAAACCGACACAGGUGGUCAGGUAGAGCAUACCAAGGCGCUUGAGAGAACUCGGCUGAAGGAACUAGGCAAAAUAGUACCGUAACUUCGGGAGAAGGUACGCUCUUUGCUGUGAAGGACUUGCUCCGUAAGCAGCGAAGAGUCGCAGUGACCAGCUGGCUGCAACUGUUUAUUAAAAACACAGCACUCUGCAAACUCGUAAGAGGACGUAUAGGGUGUGACACCUGCCCGGUGCCGGAAGGUUAAUUGAUGGGGUUAGCGCAAGCGAAGCUCUUGAUCGAAGCCCCGGUAAACGGCGGCCGUAACUAUAACGGUCCUAAGGUAGCGAAAUUCCUUGUCGGGUAAGUUCCGACCUGCACGAAUGGUGUAAUGAUGGCCAGGCUGUCUCCAGCCGAGACUCAGUGAAAUUGAAAUUGCGGUGAAGAUGCCGUAUACCCGCGGCUAGACGGAAAGACCCCGUGAACCUUUACUAUAGCUUGGCACUGAACAUUGACCCUACAUGUGUAGGAUAGGUGGGAGGCUUUGAAGUUUGGACGCUAGUCCAGAUGGAGCCGUCCUUGAAAUACCACCCUUGUAUGUUUGAUGUUCUAACGUAGGUCCCUGAAUCGGGAUUGCGGACAGUGUCUGGUGGGUAGUUUGACUGGGGCGGUCUCCUCCUAAAGAGUAACGGAGGAGCACGAAGGUUGGCUAAGUACGGUCGGACAUCGUACGGUUAGUGUAAUGGUAGAAGCCAGCUUAACUGCGAGACAGACACGUCGAGCAGGUACGAAAGUAGGUCAUAGUGAUCCGGUGGUUCUGUAUGGAAGGGCCAUCGCUCAACGGAUAAAAGGUACUCCGGGGAUAACAGGCUGAUACCGCCCAAGAGUUCAUAUCGACGGCGGUGUUUGGCACCUCGAUGUCGGCUCAUCACAUCCUGGGGCUGAAGUCGGUCCCAAGGGUAUGGCUGUUCGCCAUUUAAAGUGGUACGCGAGCUGGGUUUAGAACGUCGUGAGACAGUUCGGUCCCUAUCUGCCGUGGGCGUUGGAUGAUUGAGUGGAGUUGCUCCUAGUACGAGAGGACCGGAGUGAACGAACCGCUGGUGUUCGGGUUGUCAUGCCAAUGGCAUUGCCCGGUAGCUACGUUCGGAACGGAUAACCGCUGAAAGCAUCUAAGCGGGAAGCCGGCCACAAGAUGAGUCAUCCCUCAGACUUUAAGUCUGCUAAAGGGUCGUUGGAGACCACAACGUUGAUAGGUGAGGUGUGGAAGCGCAGUGAUGUGUUAAGCUAACUCAUACUAAUUGCCCGAGAGGCUUAACCAU
This 1878-nucleotide ribosomal RNA is filed under the name Rheinheimera baltica. RNAcentral's name for it is "partial 23S ribosomal RNA". It matches the Rfam family "Bacterial large subunit ribosomal RNA", at positions 1061 to 2925 of the family's 2925-position model. The record is from RNAcentral. Lineage: Bacteria; Pseudomonadati; Pseudomonadota; Gammaproteobacteria; Chromatiales; Chromatiaceae.